Molecule: long non-coding RNA, 996 nt
Organism: Athene cunicularia (burrowing owl)
Lineage: Eukaryota; Metazoa; Chordata; Aves; Strigiformes; Strigidae
Exons: 4
Source: RefSeq, a predicted model, not a curated record
AUCCACCUACUGUCUGUAAAAUUUGCAGUAGUAAUGUGUGUGUGAUUUUGUUGUAGGCCAGGUGUGAAUUCUUCCUUCUAUCAAGAAAAAAUAUGUUUAUGCAGCCUGGUAUGAAGCUUUCUGGCAAGGAGAUGAGUCAGGCUUUGUUUGAACUGGAAGGCUGGUGAACAGAUCUUUUAGAAAGUGAAAAGGUAUGGACAACGUAACAGAGGGAUACAAAGCAGUUGACAUGGCAGGUCACCAUUUCCCAAGCUGAGCCUGGGCAUCCCCAGCUCUUCCCGUCAGCACCUCCAAGAAAAAGGAUGAUCGGGAACACAUCUCUCAAAGGCAAAGCAAAGGUGACUUGGUGCCUGGGUGUGAUGCUGGCUGAGAUGGAGCCCUCCCUUUCAGAGAGGUGGGAGACAUGUGUGGCCAUGAAGAGAAAGAGCAGAGACUACUUAAAAAGGAAAAUGCACUGAUGCACUAGGAGGAGAAAAAGUGAACCUGCACACUUUGUUCCUCACAGCAAGAUGACCUAUCUGAGGAAGGCAAAUUUGCCGUCUGAGAAGAGUUCAAACAUGUAUGAUGAGGCUGGAAAAGCUGAAGAAGAGCAUGGAUGGUGACUUUCUGGAUAAAUAGAUCACCAGGUUCCUUAGAAGCUUACAGCAAUUCUCUCCUCUCUUUCUUCACAUUGAUGUAGCAUGUUUCUUCUGGGGCUUAUUCUUAGUCCAGAGUUUGAAACUUUAACCACCACUGAGGAAUAUUGGAUCUUCCCUGAAAGGAAACAAUAUACUUUUGCACACAAAGAAACAAAGUGCCCUGAUGACCCCUGCAACAGACUUUCUUUUUGAGCAGAAUGAAACUUUUUUUCAACCUGAGGUUGCUUUGGGGAAUCACUAAUAAUGGGGUUUACAGUCAUUGCUAGUUGAAAUAUUGUCAGUCCUCCAGGCUCCACUUCCAGGCAUUAGUAUGUAUGUAAAUGAGAGUUUGCCAGACCAAGCCUCACACCAUAUAAAA